This 459-nucleotide ribosomal RNA is filed under the name Mycobacterium sp. FI02139. Its description in RNAcentral is "bacterial SSU rRNA". It matches the Rfam family "Bacterial small subunit ribosomal RNA", at positions 35 to 510 of the family's 1533-position model. The record is from RNAcentral. Lineage: Bacteria; Bacillati; Actinomycetota; Actinomycetes; Mycobacteriales; Mycobacteriaceae.
GCUGGCGGCGUGCUUAACACAUGCAAGUCGAACGGAAAGGCCCUUCGGGGUACUCGAGUGGCGAACGGGUGAGUAACACGUGGGUGAUCUGCCCUGCACUUUGGGAUAAGCCUGGGAAACUGGGUCUAAUACCGAAUACACCUCCUUGGUUGCAUGAUCUUGGGGGGAAAGCUUUUGCGGUGUGGGAUGGGCCCGCGGCCUAUCAGCUUGUUGGUGGGGUGAUGGCCUACCAAGGCGACGACGGGUAGCCGGCCUGAGAGGGUGUCCGGCCACACUGGGACUGAGAUACGGCCCAGACUCCUACGGGAGGCAGCAGUGGGGAAUAUUGCACAAUGGGCGCAAGCCUGAUGCAGCGACGCCGCGUGGGGGAUGACGGCCUUCGGGUUGUAAACCUCUUUCAGCACAGACGAAGCGCAAGUGACGGUAUGUGCAGAAGAAGCACCGGCCAACUACGUGCCA